This 253-nucleotide unclassified non-coding RNA is filed under the name uncultured Trueperaceae bacterium. RNAcentral's name for it is "contains 16S-23S intergenic spacer region". It matches the Rfam family "Bacterial small subunit ribosomal RNA", at positions 524 to 776 of the family's 1533-position model. Lineage: Bacteria; Thermotogati; Deinococcota; Deinococci; Trueperales; Trueperaceae. The record is from RNAcentral.
CACGUACUGUGCGAACGUUAUCCGGAAUCACUGGGCGUAAAGGGCGCGUAGGCGGUCUAGUAAGUCCGAUGUUAAAGAGCGGGGCUCAACCCCGUCACGGCGUUGGAUACUGCUGGGCUUGACGACUGGAGAGGUGAGUGGAAUUACCAGUGUAGCGGUGGAAUGCGUAGAUACUGGUAGGAACACCCAUUGCGAAGGCAGCUCACUGGACAGUACGUGACGCUGAGGCGCGAAAGUGUGGGGAGCAAACCGG